UACAGAGGCCUCGAGCGUUGUUCGGAAUUACUGGGCGUAAAGGGAAUGUAGGCGGUAACGUAAGUCAGAUGUGAAAGCCCUGGGCUUAACCUGGGAAGUGCAUUUGAUACUGCGUUGCUGGAGUGCGAGAGAGGAAAGUGGAAUUCCAGGUGUAGGGGUGAAAUCCGUAGAUAUCUGGAGGAAUACCAAUGGCGAAGGCAGCUUUCUGGCUCGUAACUGACGCUGAGAUUCGAAAGCGUGGGGAGCGAACGGG
Molecule: ribosomal RNA, 253 nt
Filed under: uncultured bacterium
Lineage: Bacteria
Description: partial 16S ribosomal RNA
Rfam family: Bacterial small subunit ribosomal RNA
Source: RNAcentral